RNAcentral lists this ribosomal RNA (349 nucleotides) under uncultured bacterium. RNAcentral's name for it is "bacterial SSU rRNA". It matches the Rfam family "Bacterial small subunit ribosomal RNA", at positions 28 to 363 of the family's 1533-position model. The record is from RNAcentral.
GAUGAACGCUAGCGGCAGGCUUAACACAUGCAAGUCAGGGCAGCAGGUGAACGACGGAGAUUCGUCGAAGUGUUGAUGGCGACCGGCGCAAGGGUGCGUAACGCGUGAGCAACUUGCCCGUUUCUGGGGAAUAACCGGUGGAAACGCCGACUAAUACCCCAUAGCAUAACGAAGAGGCAUCUUUUUGUUAUUAAAGAAAUUCGGAAACGGAUAGGCUCGCGUGACAUUAGCUAGACGGCGGGUAACGGCCACCGUGGCUACGAUGUCCAGGGGUUCUGAGAGGAAGGUUCCCCCCACACUGGAACUGAGACACGGUCCAGACUCCUACGGGAGGCAGCAGUGAGGAAUA